RNAcentral lists this ribosomal RNA (254 nucleotides) under uncultured bacterium. RNAcentral describes it as "partial 16S ribosomal RNA". It matches the Rfam family "Bacterial small subunit ribosomal RNA", at positions 524 to 776 of the family's 1533-position model. The record is from RNAcentral.
UACGUAGGGGCCUAGCGUUGUCCGGAUUUAUUGGGCGUAAAGAGCUCGUAGGCGGUUCGGUAAGUCAGGUGUGAAAUCUCCACGCUCAACGUGGAGGCGCCACCUGAAACUGCCGUGACUCGAGUCCGGUAGGGGAGUGUGGAAUUCCCGGUGUAGCGGUGAAAUUCGUAGAUAUUGGGAAGAACACCGGUGGCGAAGGCGGCGCUCUGGACCGAGACUGACGCUGAGGCGCGAAGGCGUGGGGAGCAAACAGG